UGACUUCUGUUUCGUGCGAGAAGUUUUCUUGGUUCUUUUCCUUACUCCUACAAAAUCGGGAAUCUAUCGACAGUCGUCUGCAGUCAAGCCGUAAAUCGGAAGACUAAGGGCGGCACGAGGGUACCCACCUGGACCUAAAAAAGGUCAUGUUACUGAGUUUACGAUGCACGGCGAAUACGGAAGUCAC
This 187-nucleotide non-coding RNA is filed under the name Opitutia bacterium. Its description in RNAcentral is "6S RNA". It matches the Rfam family "6S / SsrS RNA". From Rfam's summary of the family: E. coli 6S RNA was the first non coding RNA to be sequenced, but its function was unknown until recently. It consists of 184 nucleotides that fold into an extended hairpin structure with a large single-stranded internal bulge. RNAcentral also lists the same sequence under 1 other name. Lineage: Bacteria; Pseudomonadati; Verrucomicrobiota; Opitutia. The record is from RNAcentral.